RNAcentral lists this ribosomal RNA (2234 nucleotides) under Salmonella enterica. RNAcentral's name for it is "bacterial LSU rRNA". It matches the Rfam family "Bacterial large subunit ribosomal RNA", at positions 594 to 2812 of the family's 2925-position model. RNAcentral also lists the same sequence under 2 other names. Lineage: Bacteria; Pseudomonadati; Pseudomonadota; Gammaproteobacteria; Enterobacterales; Enterobacteriaceae. The record is from RNAcentral.
UGACUGCGUACCUUUUGUAUAAUGGGUCAGCGACUUAUAUUCUGUAGCAAGGUUAACCGAAUAGGGGAGCCGGAGGGAAACCGAGUCUUAACCGGGCGUUAAGUUGCAGGGUAUAGACCCGAAACCCGGUGAUCUAGCCAUGGGCAGGUUGAAGGUUGGGUAACACUAACUGGAGGACCGAACCGACUAAUGUUGAAAAAUUAGCGGAUGACCUGUGGCUGGGGGUGAAAGGCCAAUCAAACCGGGAGAUAGCUGGUUCUCCCCGAAAGCUAUUUAGGUAGCGCCUCGUGAAUUCAUCUCCGGGGGUAGAGCACUGUUUCGGCUAGGGGGCCAUCCCGGCUUACCAACCCGAUGCAAACUGCGAAUACCGGAGAAUGUUAUCACGGGAGACACACGGCGGGUGCUAACGUCCGUCGUGAAGAGGGAAACAACCCAGACCGCCAGCUAAGGUCCCAAAGUCAUGGUUAAGUGGGAAACGAUGUGGGAAGGCCCAGACAGCCAGGAUGUUGGCUUAGAAGCAGCCAUCAUUUAAAGAAAGCGUAAUAGCUCACUGGUCGAGUCGGCCUGCGCGGAAGAUGUAACGGGGCUAAACCAUGCACCGAAGCUGCGGCAGCGACACUGUGUGUUGUUGGGUAGGGGAGCGUUCUGUAAGCCUGCGAAGGUGGCCUGUGAGGGUUGCUGGAGGUAUCAGAAGUGCGAAUGCUGACAUAAGUAACGAUAAAGCGGGUGAAAAGCCCGCUCGCCGGAAGACCAAGGGUUCCUGUCCAACGUUAAUCGGGGCAGGGUGAGUCGACCCCUAAGGCGAGGCCGAAAGGCGUAGUCGAUGGGAAACGGGUUAAUAUUCCCGUACUUGGUGUUACUGCGAAGGGGGGACGGAGAAGGCUAUGUUGGCCGGGCGACGGUUGUCCCGGUUUAAGCGUGUAGGUGUGUGUUCCAGGUAAAUCCGGUUCACUUUAACACUGAGGCGUGACGACGAGGCACUACGGUGCUGAAGCAACAAAUGCCCUGCUUCCAGGAAAAGCCUCUAAGCAUCAGGUAACAUCAAAUCGUACCCCAAACCGACACAGGUGGUCAGGUAGAGAAUACCAAGGCGCUUGAGAGAACUCGGGUGAAGGAACUAGGCAAAAUGGUGCCGUAACUUCGGGAGAAGGCACGCUGACACGUAGGUGAAGUGAUUUACUCAUGGAGCUGAAGUCAGUCGAAGAUACCAGCUGGCUGCAACUGUUUAUUAAAAACACAGCACUGUGCAAACACGAAAGUGGACGUAUACGGUGUGACGCCUGCCCGGUGCCGGAAGGUUAAUUGAUGGGGUCAGCGCAAGCGAAGCUCCUGAUCGAAGCCCCGGUAAACGGCGGCCGUAACUAUAACGGUCCUAAGGUAGCGAAAUUCCUUGUCGGGUAAGUUCCGACCUGCACGAAUGGCGUAAUGAUGGCCAGGCUGUCUCCACCCGAGACUCAGUGAAAUUGAACUCGCUGUGAAGAUGCAGUGUACCCGCGGCAAGACGGAAAGACCCCGUGAACCUUUACUAUAGCUUGACACUGAACAUUGAGCCUUGAUGUGUAGGAUAGGUGGGAGGCUUUGAAGUGUGGACGCCAGUCUGCAUGGAGCCGACCUUGAAAUACCACCCUUUAAUGUUUGAUGUUCUAACGUGGACCCGUUACCCGGGUUGCGGACAGUGUCUGGUGGGUAGUUUGACUGGGGCGGUCUCCUCCUAAAGAGUAACGGAGGAGCACGAAGGUUGGCUAAUCCUGGUCGGACAUCAGGAGGUUAGUGCAAUGGCAUAAGCCAGCUUGACUGCGAGCGUGACGGCGCGAGCAGGUGCGAAAGCAGGUCAUAGUGAUCCGGUGGUUCUGAAUGGAAGGGCCAUCGCUCAACGGAUAAAAGGUACUCCGGGGAUAACAGGCUGAUACCGCCCAAGAGUUCAUAUCGACGGCGGUGUUUGGCACCUCGAUGUCGGCUCAUCACAUCCUGGGGCUGAAGUAGGUCCCAAGGGUAUGGCUGUUCGCCAUUUAAAGUGGUACGCGAGCUGGGUUUAGAACGUCGUGAGACAGUUCGGUCCCUAUCUGCCGUGGGCGCUGGAGAACUGAGGGGGGCUGCUCCUAGUACGAGAGGACCGGAGUGGACGCAUCACUGGUGUUCGGGUUGUCAUGCCAAUGGCACUGCCCGGUAGCUAAAUGCGGAAGAGAUAAGUGCUGAAAGCAUCUAAGCACGAAACUUGCCCCGAGAUGAGUUCU